CGCUCAUGGUGUCCUUGUAGCACGUUGGUCUUCUAAUCCAAAGAUUGUGGGUUCGAAUCCCACCUGGGAUGG
Trichonephila clavipes is the source of this 72-nucleotide non-coding RNA. The record is from the annotation of a GenBank genome assembly. NCBI's taxonomy places the organism in Eukaryota, Metazoa, Arthropoda, Arachnida, Araneae, Nephilidae.